This 500-nucleotide ribosomal RNA is filed under the name uncultured bacterium. Its description in RNAcentral is "partial 16S ribosomal RNA". It matches the Rfam family "Bacterial small subunit ribosomal RNA", at positions 30 to 523 of the family's 1533-position model. The record is from RNAcentral.
AUUGAACGCUGGCGGCAUGCUUUACACAUGCAAGUCGAACGGUAACAGGGUGCUUGCACCGCUGACGAGUGGCGAACGGGUGAGUAAUGCGUCGGAACGUGCCGAGUAGUGGGGGAUAACGCAGCGAAAGUUGUGCUAAUACCGCAUACGUACUGAGGUAGAAAGUGGGGGACCCUCGGGCCUCACGCUAUUCGAGCGGCCGACGUCUGAUUAGCUAGUAGGUGAGGUAAAGGCUCACCUAGGCGACGAUCAGUAGCGGGUCUGAGAGGAUGGUCCGCCACACUGGGACUGAGAAACUGCCCAGACUCCUGCGGGAGGCAGCAGUGGGGAAUUUUGGACAAUGGGCGAAAGCCUGAUCCAGCCAUGCCGCGUGUCUGAAGAAGGCCUUCGGGUUGUAAAGGACUUUUGUCAGGGAGGUAAUCCCUAGUGCUAAUAACACUGGGGGAUGACAGUACCUGAAGAAUAAGCACCGGCUAACUACGUGCCAGCCGCCGCAGUAA